This 551-nucleotide ribosomal RNA is filed under the name uncultured bacterium. RNAcentral's name for it is "bacterial SSU rRNA". It matches the Rfam family "Bacterial small subunit ribosomal RNA", at positions 10 to 563 of the family's 1533-position model. The record is from RNAcentral.
AGUUUGAUCAUGGCUCAGAGCGAACGCUGGCGGCGUGCUUAACACAUGCAAGUCGAGUGCGCGUCUGUAGCAAUACAGAUGGCGCACGGCGCACGGGUGCGUAACACGUGGGCAAUCUGCCCUUCGAUGGGGAAUAACCUCGCGAAAGCGAGGCUAAUUCCGCAUAACAUUCCGAUGAUCUUGGUCAAUGGAUUCAAAGCCGUAAGGCGUCGAAGGAGGAGCCCGCGCACGAUUAGCUAGUUGGUGAGGUAACGGCUCACCAAGGCUAUGAUCGUUAGCUGGUCUGAGAGGAUGGCCAGCCACACUGGAACUGAGACACGGUCCAGACUCCUACGGGAGGCAGCAGUGGGGAAUCUUGCACAAUGGGCGAAAGCCUGAUGCAGCGACGCCGCGUGGGGGAUGAAGCUUUUCGGAGUGUAAACCCCUUUCGACCCGGACGAAUGCCUCGCAAGAGGACUGACGGUACGGGUAUAAGAAGCCCCGGCUAACUACGUGCCAGCAGCCGCGGUAAGACGUAGGGGGCCAGCGUUGCUCGGAAUUACUGGGUGUAA